This 2965-nucleotide ribosomal RNA is filed under the name Zea mays subsp. mays (maize). RNAcentral describes it as "eukaryotic LSU rRNA". The stretch from base 383 to 2269 matches the Rfam family "Eukaryotic large subunit ribosomal RNA". Lineage: Eukaryota; Viridiplantae; Streptophyta; Magnoliopsida; Poales; Poaceae. The record is from RNAcentral.
ACUCUCGGCAACGGAUAUCUCGGCUCUCGCAUCGAUGAAGAACGUAGCAAAAUGCGAUACCUGGUGUGAAUUGCAGAAUCCCGCGAACCAUCGAGUUUUUGAACGCAAGUUGCGCCCGAAGCCUUCUGGCGGAGGGCACGUCUGCCUGGGCGUCACGCCAAAAGACACUCCCAACACCCCCCCCCCCCCGCGGGGCGAGGGACGUGGCGUCUGGCCCCCCGCGCCGCAGGGCGAGGUGGGCCGAAGCAUGGGCUGCCGGCGAACCGCGUCGGGCGCAGCACGUGGUGGGCGACAUCAAGUUGUUCUCGGUGCAGCGUCCCGGCGCGCGGCCGGCCAUUCGGCCCUAAGGACCCAUCGAGCGACCGAGCUUGUCCUCGGACCGCGACCCCAGGUCAGUCGGGACUACCCGCUGAGUUUAAGCAUAUAAAUAAGCGGAGGAGAAGAAACUUACGAGGAUUCCCCUAGUAACGGCGAGCGAACCGGGAGCAGCCCAGCUUGAGAAUCGGGCGGCCUCGCCGCCCGAAUUGUAGUCUGGAGAGGCGUCCUCAGCGACGGACCGGGCCCAAGUUCUCUGGAAAGGGACGCCUGGGAGGGUGAGAGCCCCGUCCGGCCCGGACCCUGUCGCACCACGAGGCGCCGUCAACGAGUCGGGUUGUUUGGGAAUGCAGCCCAAAUCGGGCGGUAAACUCCGUCCAAGGCUAAAUACAGGCGAGAGACCGAGAGCGAACAAGUACCGCGAGGGAAAGAUGAAAAGGACUUUGAAAAGAGAGUCAAAGAGUGCUUGAAAUUGCCGGGAGGGAAGCGGAUGGGGGCUGGCGACGCGCACCGGCCGUAUGCGGAACGGCUCCUGCUGGUCCGCCGAUCGGCUCGGGGCGUGGACCGUUGUCGCCCGCGCCGGCGGCCAAAGCCCGGGGGCCCUAGGCGCCCCCGGCAGCCGUCGUCGGCGCGGACGGUAUCCGCGCGCCUCUGGCGCGCCCCCCGGGGCGCUGCGCCGCAACGGCCUGCGAGCUCCCCAUCCGACCCGUCUUGAAACACGGACCAAGGAGUCUGACAUGCGUGCGAGUCGACGGGUUCAGAAACCUGAGAUGCGCAAGGAAGCUGACGAGCGGGAGGCCCUCACGAGCCGCACCGCUGGCCGACCCUGAUCUUCUGUGAAGGGUUCGAGUUGGAGCACGCCUGUCGGGACCCGAAAGAUGGUGAACUAUGCCUGAGCGGGGCGAAGCCAGAGGAAACUCUGGUGGAGGCUCGAAGCGAUACUGACGUGCAAAUCGUUCGUCUGACUUGGGUAUAGGGGCGAAAGACUAAUCGAACCAUCUAGUAGCUGGUUCCCUCCGAAGUUUCCCUCAGGAUAGCUGGAGCCCACACGAGUUCUAUCGGGUAAAGCCAAUGAUUAGAGGCAUCGGGGGCACAACGCCCUCGACCUAUUCUCAAACUUUAAAUAGGUAGGACGGCGUGGCUGCUUCGGUGAGCCGUGCCACGGAAUCGGGAGCUCCAAGUGGGCCAUUUUUGGUAAGCAGAACUGGCGAUGCGGGAUGAACCGGAAGCCGAGUUACGGUGCCAAACUGCGCGCUAACCUAGAACCCACAAAGGGUGUUGGUCGAUUAAGACAGCAGGACGGUGGUCAUGGAAGUCGAAAUCCGCUAAGGAGUGUGUAACAACUCACCUGCCGAAUCAACUAGCCCCGAAAAUGGAUGGCGCUGAAGCGCGCGACCCACACCCGGCCAUCUGGGCGAGCGACAUGCCCCGAUGAGUAGGAGGGCGCGGCGGCCGCCGCAAAACCCGGGGCGCGAGCCCAGGCGGAGCGGCCGUCGGUGCAGAUCUUGGUGGUAGUAGCAAAUAUUCAAAUGAGAACUUUGAAGGCCGAAGAGGAGAAAGGUUCCAUGUGAACGGCACUUGCACAUGGGUAAGCCGAUCCUAAGGGACAGGGGAAACCCGGCAGAUAGCGCGAUCACGCGCGUCACCCGAAAGGGAAUCGGGUUAAGAUUUCCCGAGCCGGGACGUGGCGGCAGACGGCGACGUUAGGAAGUCCGGAGACGCCGGCGGGGGCCUCGGGAAGAGUUAUCUUUUCUGCUUAAUGGCCCGCCAACCCUGGAAUCUGUGGUGGAACUGCCCGAAUUAUUCCAACUUAAGUGCCCAAGUCCCGCCUUAGAGGCUAGACCACACUUAAAUGGGAAUAACCCGUCAAUCCCUCGGAUCUAGUCCGACACGGCCACUGACAGGAUCAAGUACCACAAUCUCACUCGAAGGUGAGUCACAGAGCAAAUACAAUAAAGCAUAAAACCAUACAUGUCACAAUGUUAGAUUAUUACAUCACCAUCAUCAUCAUCGGAGUUUUGCAAAAGUAACCAUCAUUGUUCGAAGUGCAGCGGAAUAAAACUAACGAUAAUUAAACAGAGAGAUGGGGAAGCCUGUCCCAUCACUCCUCAUGCUCCUCCUCGGCUGAGGCAGGGUCCCACUCAACAGUCCAACCCGGUGGCAAGGUGGACGACCAAGUUAUCCCAGCAACCAUCUCCUCCAGAGAACCUGUAAAAAUUAUCCCACAAGCAAGGCUGAGUAUACUAAUACUCAGCUAGACUUACCCGGUGUGAGGAGUCUACUCCUCUACCUCUAGACAUGCAGCUGUUUGGCUGUGGGGUUUGGUUGCCAAAAGCACUAGCUGAGUUUCUAAUUCAAGAUUUUAACUUAGUCAAGGUUAAGUGUGACUCUCUUAAGGCUAAAGGUGAACUAUCUACUCAUACAAAGUAGCAAACAUUUUAGCAAUCAACAUAUUAUAUCAUCUCCGCAUCAUUCCACUUGUUACUCAAUGUAGCAGCAUGGAUCAAGCAGUCUCAUUAGCUGCGAGAAGCAGACGAUUCGAAUCGAGUUUUUAAACCUUGCAAGGUAAACCUAAACACACGACAUGUAGGGGCACUCCGUCCCCACACACAUCAACCGUCCCCAUCGAUUCCCCGUCAGCAGAUCAGGG